UUAAGUUCAGCGGGUAGUCUCACCCGAUUUGAGGUCAAGGUCUGUUUCGUGGGUCCAGCCUCCCGCCAACGUAGAUGGCGGCGACCGAAGCACCAUCGUUUGUCCAUGAGACGAUUGGGAGCAGGGACGACGCCGGAUCCAAAACGUAGAAACAUCUUAUCACGUCAAGGACCAGCAAAGCAGACCCCACUGAUUCCUUU
Molecule: unclassified non-coding RNA, 200 nt
Filed under: Russula sp.
Lineage: Eukaryota; Fungi; Basidiomycota; Agaricomycetes; Russulales; Russulaceae
Description: partial internal transcribed spacer 2
Source: RNAcentral